Molecule: ribosomal RNA, 479 nt
Filed under: uncultured bacterium
Lineage: Bacteria
Description: bacterial SSU rRNA
Rfam family: Bacterial small subunit ribosomal RNA
Source: RNAcentral
GAUGAACGCUAGCGGCAGGCUUAACACAUGCAAGUCGAGGGGUAUAGUUCUUCGGAAUUAGAGGCCGGCGCACGGGUGCGUAACGCGUAUGCAAUCUACCUUUCACAAAGGGAUAGCCCAGAGAAAUUUGGAUUAAUACCUUAUAGUAAUACGACUUGGCAUCAAGAUGUAUUUAAAGAUUUAUCGGUGAAAGAUGAGCAUGCGUCCCAUUAGCUAGUUGGUAAGGUAACGGCUUACCAAGGCAACGAUGGGUAGGGGUCCUGAGAGGGAGAUCCCCCACACUGGUACUGAGACACGGACCAGACUCCUACGGGAGGCAGCAGUGAGGAAUAUUGGUCAAUGGGCGAGAGCCUGAACCAGCCAAGUCGCGUGAAGGAAGAAGGAUCUAUGGUUCGUAAAACUUCUUUUGCAGGGGAAUAAAGUGCAGGACGUGUCCUGUUUUGUAUGUACCCUGAGAAUAAGGAUCGGCUAACUCCGUG